Molecule: ribosomal RNA, 253 nt
Filed under: uncultured bacterium
Lineage: Bacteria
Description: partial 16S ribosomal RNA
Rfam family: Bacterial small subunit ribosomal RNA
Source: RNAcentral
UACAGAGGGGGCAAGCGUUGUUCGGAAUUACUGGGCGUAAAGGGCGCGUAGGCGGCCCGCUAAGUCGAACGUGAAAUCCCCGGGCUCAACCCGGGAACUGCGUCCGAUACUGGCAGGCUUGAAUCCGGGAGAGGGAUGUGGAAUUCCAGGUGUAGCGGUGAAAUGCGUAGAUAUCUGGAGGAAUACCGGUGGCGAAGGCGGCAUCCUGGACCGACAUUGACGCUGAGGAGCGAAAGCUAGGGGAGCAAACGGG